UACGGAGGGGGCUAGCGUUGUUCGGAAUUACUGGGCGUAAAGCGCACGUAGGCGGCUUUGCAAGUCAGAGGUGAAAGCCCGGGGCUCAACCCCGGAAUUGCCUUUGAGACUGCAUCGCUAGAACGUCGGAGAGGUGAGUGGAAUUCCGAGUGUAGAGGUGAAAUUCGUAGAUAUUCGGAAGAACACCAGUGGCGAAGGCGACUCACUGGACGACUGUUGACGCUGAGGUGCGAAAGCGUGGGGAGCAAACAGG
Molecule: ribosomal RNA, 253 nt
Filed under: uncultured bacterium
Lineage: Bacteria
Description: partial 16S ribosomal RNA
Rfam family: Bacterial small subunit ribosomal RNA
Source: RNAcentral